UUUCCCUGUGAUGCUUUGAACCAUGCUAAUCCUGAUUAUUUCAUGAUUAUAGUUGUCUAAAUAUUCUGAGGGAACA
Molecule: small nucleolar RNA, 76 nt
Organism: Pyrus x bretschneideri (Chinese white pear)
Lineage: Eukaryota; Viridiplantae; Streptophyta; Magnoliopsida; Rosales; Rosaceae
Product: small nucleolar RNA snoR53Y
Exons: 1
Source: RefSeq, a predicted model, not a curated record